UACGAAGGGGGCUAGCGUUGCUCGGAAUCACUGGGCGUAAAGCGCACGUAGGCGGAUUGCUAAGUCAGGGGUGAAAUCCUGGAGCUCAACUCCAGAACUGCCUUUGAUACUGGCGACCUUGAGUCCGGGAGAGGUGAGUGGAACUGCGAGUGUAGAGGUGAAAUUCGUAGAUAUUCGCAAGAACACCAGUGGCGAAGGCGGCUCACUGGCCCGGUAAUGACGCUGAGGUGCGAAAGCGUGGGGAGCAAACAGG
This 253-nucleotide ribosomal RNA is filed under the name uncultured bacterium. RNAcentral's name for it is "partial 16S ribosomal RNA". It matches the Rfam family "Bacterial small subunit ribosomal RNA", at positions 524 to 776 of the family's 1533-position model. The record is from RNAcentral.